GAUGAACGCUGGCGGCGUGCCUAAUACAUGCAAGUCGAGCGAACGGACGAGAAGCUUGCUUUUCUGGUGUUAGCGGCGGACGGGUGAGUAACACGUGGAUAACCUACCUAUAAGACUGGGAUAACUUCGGGAAACCGGAGCUAAUACCGGAUAAUAUUUUGAACCGCAUGGUUCAAAAGUGAAAGACGGUCUUGCUGUCACUUAUAGAUGGAUCCGCGCUGCAUUAGCUAGUUGGUAAGGUAACGGCUUACCAAGGCAACGAUGCAUAGCCGACCUGAGAGGGUGAUCGGCCACACUGGAACUGAGACACGGUCCAGACUCCUACGAGAGGCAGCAGUAGGGAAUCUUCCGCAAUGGGCGAAAGCCUGACGGAGCAACGCCGCGUGAGUGAUGAAGGUCUUCGGAUCGUAAAACUCUGUUAUUAGGGAAGAACAUAUGUGUAAGUAACUGUGCACAUCUUGACGGUACCUAAUCAGAAAGCCACGGCUAACUACGUG
Molecule: ribosomal RNA, 497 nt
Filed under: uncultured bacterium
Lineage: Bacteria
Description: partial 16S ribosomal RNA
Rfam family: Bacterial small subunit ribosomal RNA
Source: RNAcentral